RNAcentral lists this ribosomal RNA (278 nucleotides) under uncultured bacterium. RNAcentral describes it as "partial 16S ribosomal RNA". It matches the Rfam family "Bacterial small subunit ribosomal RNA", at positions 506 to 784 of the family's 1533-position model. The record is from RNAcentral.
UGCCAGCAGCCGCGGUAAACGUAGGGGGCGAGCGUUAAUCGGAAUUACUGGGCGUAAAGCGCGCGUAGGCGGAACGUUAAGUUGGAUGUGAAAGCCCCGGGCUCAACCUGGGAACUGCAUUCAAAACUGGCGUUCUUGAGUUCAAGAGAGGGUGGUGGAAUUCCUGGUGUAGAGGUGAAAUUCGUUGAUAUCAGGAGGAACACCGGCGGCGAAGGCGGCCACCUGGCUUGAUACUGACGCUGAGGUGCGAAAGUGUGGGGAGCAAACAGGAUUAGAUA